This 382-nucleotide ribosomal RNA is filed under the name Vuilleminia erastii. RNAcentral describes it as "partial large subunit ribosomal RNA". It matches the Rfam family "Eukaryotic large subunit ribosomal RNA", at positions 232 to 622 of the family's 3401-position model. The record is from RNAcentral. Lineage: Eukaryota; Fungi; Basidiomycota; Agaricomycetes; Corticiales; Vuilleminiaceae.
ACUACCGGUGCUUUWUGAUGCGCUCUAAAAMAGNNNNNWUGUUUGGGAAUGCAGCGCAAAAUGGKUGGUAAAUUCCAUCUAAAGCUAAAUAUUGGCGAGAGACCGAUAGCGAACAAGUACCGUGAGGGAAAGAUGAAAAGCACUUUGSAAAGAGAGUUAAACAGUACGUGAAAUUGUUGAAAGGGAAACGCUUGAAGUCAGUCGCGUCUGGCGGAACUCMGCCUUGNAUUUGCUUGGNGCACUUUCCGUUUGAVGGGCCAGCAUCAAUUUUGGCCGCCGGAUAAAGUUCAGUGRAAUGUGGCACCUUCGGGUKUGUUAUWGCCUCUGUUCGCAUACGGCGGCUGGGAUUGAGGUCUGCAGCACGCCUUUUGGCCGGGGUUCG